RNAcentral lists this ribosomal RNA (254 nucleotides) under uncultured bacterium. RNAcentral's name for it is "partial 16S ribosomal RNA". It matches the Rfam family "Bacterial small subunit ribosomal RNA", at positions 79 to 334 of the family's 1533-position model. The record is from RNAcentral.
AAUACUUUGGUGGCGACCGGCGCACGGGUGCGUAACGCGUAUGCAACCUACCUUUAACAGGGGCAUAACACUGAGAAAUUGGUACUAAUUCCCCAUAACAUUCGAGAAGGCAUCUUCUUGGGUUAAAAACUCCGGUGGUUAAAGAUGGGCAUGCGCCGUAUUAGCUAGUUGGUGAGGUAACGGCUCACCAAGGCAACGAUACAUAGGGGGACUGAGAGGUUAACCCCCCACAUUGGUACUGAGACACGGACCAA